UCGUCCAUGAAAAUCACUAAACAUCUCGAUUCCAACUUCUUCUUUCUAACGCUGUCAUUUAAAAGCAUAAAAAUCUUCUUAAGCUAGAGCAUAAUACUUCUUCUCUCCAAUGAGAAUCUAUUUCAUGAUAACUCAAUUUCAUCUUCUGCUUUCUUAUUCAAUUUCUAAUUUGAUUUAAAGCAUAUUAUGCUUUCUUCUCCGAUGAGAAUCGAUUCACAUUGUCGUGUGUUGAUUUCUUCUGGUAAGAGCAUGAUCUACUUUGAGUUGCUAGGUAACAAAUUUGAUCAGAAGAAACGGAAGUAAUAAACGCAUCUUUGCUACAUCUUCUCCGACUUGAGAAUUGAGAGAUGGAUGAUAAACUCCGAUUUGUUAGCCUCUUUUUGUAUUAGUUCUCAGUCACUCACGUCGUCCUCAAUGCUUGUGUUAAACUUCAAUAAUCCUCUGUCUAUUCAUUCUCAUUUCCUAGAUUUUUUUCUAAUAUGUUUGUGUAGCAAUUCUUAGUACAAUAGAUUGAUCUAGGAAUAAUAGAUAUGAUGCGAUUUGUUUAAAAUUAUUUUCGUAUGUUACAAUUGAGAUUCUUUAAGUGUUUAUGAUUAGGGUAUAUUCAAAAACUGGGUUUACAAGAAGAGAAAAUUGGGUUCCAAGUAGCCUCAUUGGUAUUGAUUUGGGUCUUUAUUGCUUAUCUGUUCACAUUAAAAGAGUAACUAACAUUUCGAAUGCUGGUCCAUUGUCAUUUUUCUUAAUUGUUAACUGCAUAUGUGUGUUUAACACUUGACUUGUCUUUACAUGUUGGUCCUAUUUCUCUGGCUAUUUUCCCUCCAAAAACAAAUAAUUUCUAACUUAUGCUUAUAUUCUUGUCCUUAUACAGCAUUAACGUGAGAACAUGAUGAUGUGGGUAUUUGGCUAUGGCUCUCUUGUGUGGAUCCCAUGAUUUCACUACGAUGAGAAUGUGUUAGGUUUCAUCAAGGGAUAUAAACGUGUUUAUGAUUUUGGUGGGUUCCAAGAUGUUCUUAGGGGUCACUGCAUCAGUGACAAGCUGGGGUGCAGAUGAGACUUGCUGCCCUAUAAAUAAUAGGAAUGGCGAACUAGAACCUCAUCCUUUAAAGGUUUGGUGUAUAUUUGCCCUAUUUGUAAAGACCCUGACCUUGCGUCAGAAAAACUGGAAACCGGUUCUACGCCGUAACGGAAGCGUGUGCCCAAUCACUAAAUCGAUCUUUAGUCAAUAGGAGCCCUACUUCCCUCGACCUCAUCACUUUAAUUGUUGCGCAAGUCUAAUCUUGGAGGACUUCCCAAUACUUGCCAAGGUCUUUACUACUGCAAUGUUGUAAGUGGAGUCAUUAGAGGAGCUUUGAAAAUGGUUUUGAUGACAUGGAUGUGUAAUGUUCUUCGAGGGGAUGAUGUUACAGGAGAAGCUACUGAAACAAGUCUUCCAGCUAUUUAGAUGAAGAAUUCGUUGAUAUAUGUGUCUAAGAAAAACAA
Molecule: non-coding RNA, 1479 nt
Organism: Camelina sativa (false flax)
Lineage: Eukaryota; Viridiplantae; Streptophyta; Magnoliopsida; Brassicales; Brassicaceae
Source: RefSeq, a predicted model, not a curated record